CAUGAAGCCCACCCCAUUCUGGAAGUCAUUAGUGCAAAAGCUACGCAUCGAUACAGAUAAGAAUCUUUACAUAAGUCCUAGGACAUACACUGUUCACUGCUGUAGGUGAGCAGAUCGUCUCCAUUUAUGUGCAUCUUUGCAUCCUCCAUUUGGUAAGUACUAUUUCUUUCCUGAUACUAAUUGUGCCUAAGAUGAUGUAAAUAAAUUAUCUUUACUAUUUCUGCAGUAAGAUGCUGUAACACACUUCACUGAAUCCUAAAAGUGGGAACAAAAAUUGUCUUUGUUGUUAAGACAAAAAUCAAGGUUCUGAAGAGAAAAAGUUUUUGCUAUAGGUUAUUAUGAUCCCAUGAGGCUCUUUGGCUGGUGCCAUUUAAAUCAAAGAAUUUAAAUAUGAAGAUAGUCAUAUAUUUCUUUUUUAAUAAUAUUUUUCCUUAAGAGAUUUCUGAUUAAGUUAUCAUAAGUUAUAAAAUUAAGCUUCAAACUUAUGCUUCAAAAUUUGUGAUCAAGGAAUUUUACUCAGGAUUUGGCAGCUGGAGUACAUGAAUGUACAAUUAUCUCAUUUGAUUGCCCAUCUUUUCAAUAGAGAUUAACACAUUUUCAUAGGUUUUUAUCAUAUCAAUAAUUCUGUCUGCUCAUUAUCACCUUUGAAAUUUUCAGAUAGAAUUGAUUAUGAGAUUUAUUUAAAGUUUCACUAUUUACUGAUAAAAUCUAUGUGAGGAAAACCUGGCAUUUUUGUAUAUAUGUGUGGAAUCUGGCUAAUAUAAAUGACCUGCUAUUCAAGGAAAAACAUAACCUUGUAGUUUUGUUCCAACUUGUAAAUUUAUUUCUCUCAAAUAGAUUCAAUACUAUUAGGCUUUGCAAGAAGUAAAAGUCGCUCAGUAGU
Molecule: long non-coding RNA, 883 nt
Filed under: Bos grunniens (domestic yak)
Lineage: Eukaryota; Metazoa; Chordata; Mammalia; Artiodactyla; Bovidae
Description: lncRNA (ENSBGRG00000012338.1)
Source: RNAcentral